RNAcentral lists this long non-coding RNA (2169 nucleotides) under Homo sapiens (human). RNAcentral describes it as "HSALNT0331666". The record is from RNAcentral. Lineage: Eukaryota; Metazoa; Chordata; Mammalia; Primates; Hominidae.
UUAGGGGCAGGGCAUCUGCCAUGUUUCCCAGAUGUUGAGGCGUCUAAGGAGUUUUCUACUGACGAGGAUCUUAAUUCCAACAUUCAGGACUCUUUAUUCGUAUAUUAAACAGCCCUUCCCAGAAAAGCUUCUCUACUGUCCUAGACAGAUGAUUUCCCUGUAAACCAUCAAACGUGGUCCCUCGGACAGUCACACUCCUGAGCUUCUUGGGGUUCCUAUGCUGUGCCGUGUUUUCCCCUCUAGCGUGGCAGGAAUUGCCCACAUGACACGUGUCUGCUUGUGUCUGUCUCUCCCAUUAGACUGUCAAGUCCGGGAAACAAGAGCGUCUCCCACUUCUCCUGUUCCCAGCUCGUGGCAAGCCGUGGGGGUGUUGAGUGAAGGAAUGGCUUUGGGCGUGAAACCAAGGGCUAAUCUGAUUAAGCCCAUCAAAUGUAACCUGCCUUGCAUGCUUCUAAUCACUUGCUUCUUGUCAGCUUUUUAACCUAUGUAGCUAAAAGUCACAGAGCCAAAAGCACCUGCCUCAACUCCCUCUAGCUUCCUGAUAGAUAACAUCUCUGACAGUGGGUCACUACAGUAACAGUCACUUAAAGUUGUUUUUUAGGAACUAGGGGGCAGGUCCUGUCCAGAUUAAACCAGUUGAGACCACCAACCUUUCAACUAGGCCUGCAUGAAUGCCUGAGAGGUGACCUUUUGAGAUCACCGGGCCAAAAACUGCCCCCUCAGGGGCACCAUUUUCUGAACAUGCAGCCUAUGAAGAGCCAGGAAGAGCCAUGAAGAGCCAUGAAGCUUGACUAUGCAUGUACACAUGGCCAAUUACCUCGCUUUUCUUCACCCUCAGUCACCUUUCCCCACACCUCAGAUCACCUUGCUUCCUUAUGCCAUAUAUAUCUCUAACCUGACUUUUGGGGAGGCAGAUUUGAGACCUGUUCUCCUGCCUCCUUGCUUCGUAGCCUCAUGGAUCAACCCUUUCUUCUUUGCAAAGCCCAUUGUCACAGUGAUUGGCUUACUGCAUGCAGGCAGAAUGAGCAGGGAGACAGACCUAAUACUGACCCUCCUUGAGUAAGUGGAUGACUGCAGAGCUGGGAUGGAAAUCGAGGCACAGAGAAGGAAUGGCUAAUUUCCCUGCAGCUGGUGUUGUGAGGAGCAUGCCUUGGCAAGUGCUGUGCUCAGCUGUGUUCCAGCCUCAGAUCACCCUGCAGGCACUGGUUCUGCUGGGCCCCUCUGCUGGCUCUCCAGGCCCCUCACCCACAGCCACCUGCUGAGCUUUGCUGGAAUGCUUUCACGUGCGUGAACCAGAUUCAGAGAUGCUGAGGGGAAGAAAGAUGGAGAAGGGACGCCUACAUUACAACUAUGACGACACGUGUUUGUAGGUAUCAAGGCAGGUCUGGGGAAGUUCUGUGCAGAUAUAUUUAACUUUGUCCUUGUAAUUUCAGGGUCCCUAGAUAAAAUGCUUAUAAGAGCCCAGGUCUCAGAGCCAGGGAGCUGGGAGGCCUGUGGUUCCUCUUCCAGAGCAGGCAGCUGGACUUGAACAAGGACAAGGAGCGCAGAAUGUUUUUCCUUAUGUGAGAACGAGAGAGUCCCUGGGAGCUCCCUGUGCCUCGGCUGGCUGGCUGACGUCCGACACACCAGAAAGAUCGCCAGAAAAGCGAUCUGAUGGGCCAACAGAGAGAGCAGGCCCACUUUCAAUGUUAGGGUUUCAAUGUUGAAACCAGAUGUCUCGAGGGCUCACACAUCCACAGAGCAUCCAGCGAUGUGUGUACACACACGGGGUGAUCUCCCAAGGCGCUUCCGUCCACUCACUCCGUGGCUGCCACAGAGGAAGAGCUGUCUGACCCCAACUCAAGAGCUCCUUAUUCUUUCUAUGUGCAAACAAAAUGAAGCAAGGCCCACCUUAGAAACAAAAGGUUUUCUCACAAUGAAAAUGUUGGAUUCUUCUUCCUCUCAGAAAUAAUGUCAUCUAAGGAAAAGUUCAUGAUAAGUUUGCUUUCUUCUUUUAAGGUAACUUUUGCAUACGAUGUUAAUUAAGUAAAAUAUUAGUUGAAUUUUGUGAAAAUAUCAUGAUUCAGUCACUUGCUUUGGUCUUUAGAAUAAGGAUGGAUGAAUAAAUAAAGAGAUAGAGGGAUUGAUGGGUGUGUGGAUGGGUGAAUGGAAGGAUGGGUAAAUAGAAGA